UACGUAGGGUGCGAGCGUUGUCCGGAAUUAUUGGGCGUAAAGAGCUCGUAGGCGGUGUGUCACGUCGGCCGUGAAAACCUGCAGCUUAACUGUGGGCGUGCGGUCGAUACGGGCAUCACUGGAGUUCGGCAGGGGAGACUGGAAUUCCUGGUGUAGCGGUGAAAUGCGCAGAUAUCAGGAGGAACACCGGUGGCGAAGGCGCCUAUCUGGCCCGAUACUGACGCUGGAGGCGACGAAAGCUAGGGGAGCAAACGGG
This 256-nucleotide ribosomal RNA is filed under the name uncultured bacterium. Its description in RNAcentral is "partial 16S ribosomal RNA". It matches the Rfam family "Bacterial small subunit ribosomal RNA", at positions 524 to 776 of the family's 1533-position model. The record is from RNAcentral.